UCGACUUUUGAUCUCCUCUGUUUUGAACGAAUUAGCAGAGAACUGUUGCGACGAAUUCAAAUAAUUAGAGAAACUGCUCUACUCGUAAUAUUCAGCGAAUUAGAGAACGAAGCUGCUCGUCACCUCCAUUGACAACAAGUGCUCAUCUUCGAGUUUCUUCUCAUCAAGAUUAUGGCACCUGAUAAGCAAUGGAUGAAACUUAUUCAUGAUCGACUUGAUAACGCUUACAUACUUGGGGUUGAGAACUUUCUCGAUUAUGCUUUUAAAAGAUUGGGAGAAACAUGCAAAAUACGUUGUCCAUGCAUCAAAUGCUUAAUGCAAUUUCAGGAACACGUGAGUUGGUUAGGUCACAUUUAAUAGUACACGAAAUAGUCCAAAAUUAUACCAUUUGGUAUCACCAUGGGGAGAGAUUAGGUGAGUGCUCUUCAGAUUAUGAAUUUGUAAAUGAUAAUAUCAUUGAAGAGGGUGAUGGUGAGGAUGGAAUACAUGAAAUUUUAAGAGAUUUAUAUCCCACUUUUGAAGGAGACAAUAUGAACAAUGAUGGUGAUGGGCUGUUUGAGGAGGAACCAAAUAUUGAAGCAAAAAGAUUCUAUAGGAUCUUAAAAACUUUUGAGCAACCAUUGUACUAAGAUUAAAAAGUUUCUAAACUUUCUACUUUGGUAAAGUUGCUUCAUAUCAAAAGUAUUGGUAAUUGGAGUAAUGCAUCAUUUACAAUGCUGUUGAAUCUCUUGAAGGAAGAUUUAUUGUAGGAUGGAUCCAACUUGCCAGAUUCAUAUUACGAAGCAAAGAAGGUAAUUCGGCACCUAGGGCUUUCUUACAAGAAGAUUGAUGCAUGUAAGAAUGAUUGCAUAUUAUACCGGAAGGAUGAUAAGUCUCUUGGGUCUUGCAAAGUUUGUGGUGUAUCUAGAUGGAAGGAGGAUAAACAUAGUGGGAAAACCAAAUUUAAAAGUGAGAAAAAGAUACCAUACAAGAUUUUACGUUAUUUUCCUCUAAAGCCAAGACUGCAAAGAUUAUUUAUGUCCUCGAAAAUAUCUUCUCUGAUGAGAUGACACCAUGACAAAAGAGUUUAUGAUGUAAUAAUGAGGCACCCAGCUGAUUCAAUAGCGUGAAAAACAUUUGAUGAACUUCAUCAAUCGUUUGCAUCUGAGCCUCGUAAUGUUCGACUUGGACUUGCUAGCGAUAGUUUUCAUCCAUUUGGAAAUUCCAAAACUCCGUAUAGCAUUUAGCCUGUGGUACUUAUUCCUUAUAAUUUACCACAUUGGCUAUGUAUGAAGAAAAAAAAUUUUAUUUUGUCGAUGAUUAUUCCUGGUCCUGAGAGUCCUGGAGAUGCUAUUAAUUUUUAUCUCCAGCCUUUGAUAGAGGAAUUAAAGGAAUUGUGGGAAUCUGGAGUGGAGACCUUUGAUGCGUCAACUAAACAAAAUUUUAUGUUACAUGCAUCUUUAUUAUGGACCAUUAAUGACUUUUCCGCAUAUGCAAAUUUGUCUGGAUGGAGUACAAAAGGAAAACUAGCAUACCCAUGUUGCAAUAAAGAAACUCACUCAAUUAGGUUACAAAUUUAUAAAAAAUAACAGUGUUAUAUGGGUCAUAGAUGCUUUCUUCCUCUUAAUAACAAAUGGAGGAAUGAUAAAGCGUCAUUUGAUGGCACUAAGGAGCAAAGAUUACCACCAAAACAGUUAUCUGGUGAUGAUAUACUUGAUCAAGUAGUUGAUUUAGAUGGGUUACAACUAACAAAGGAUCCAAAGAAGAAAAUUAAAAUAUCACAUGAGAGUAGGGGUGAUAAUUAGAAUAAGAAGAGUAUGUUCUUUGAUCUCCCAUAUUGGAAAACUCUUUUAUUGCUGCAUAACUUAGAUGUAAUGCACAUUGAGAAAAAUAUAUGUGAUAAUAUUUUGGGGACAAUCUUAAAUAUCAAAGAAAAAACCAAAGACACCAUAAAGACUCGGUUGGAUUUGCAAGCAAUGAACAUUAGGAAAGAAUUGCAUCCAAUAAAAAUUGGGGAUAAAUAUGACUUACCAACAGCAUGUUAGACAUUAUCUCCUAAAGAGAAGCACAGGUUUUUUAGUUUCUUGAAGAACUUAAAGGUCCGAGAUGGAUUUUCAUCAAAUAUUUUCCAGUGUGUCAACCUUAAAGUUCUCAAAAUUUCAGGUUUUAAAAGUCAUGAUUGUCAUGUUCUUCUACAACAUUUACUCUCACUUGCUCUACGGGGUAUGCUAUGCAAAUCUGUGUGUGAACCGCUUAUUGAGUUAUCUUUGUUUUUCAACGUGCUUGGAUCAAAAUAUUUAAGUGUGGAUAAAUUAGAGCAGAUAGAUGCCCAAAUCCCAAUAACUGAGUGCAAGCUAGAAAAAGUCAUCCCUCCUACAUUUUUUGAUGUCAUGGAGCACUUGCCAAUUCAUUUAGCUAAUGAAGCUAAGAUUGCUAGACCUUCUCAAUAUCGAUGGAUGUAUCCAAUAGAGCGAUAUAUAUACUUUAUGAAAUCAUUUAUUCGUAAUAGGUCUUGCGCAGAAGGUUCUAUUGCAGAGGGAUAUUUAGCAACUGAAUGUAUGACCUUAUGUUCAAGGUAUUUACAUACAAUGGAAACAAAGUUUAAUCGCCUUGAACGAAAUUAUGAUGGUGGUAUUAUAGAAUCUGAUGGAGGUUUAACAAUUAUUUGUCAACCCGGAAGAGCUUUAAGAGGUGGCAAACCACAUAAACUUGAUUCAAAUAAACUGGAGCAAGCACAUUUUUAUAUUUUGAAGAAUUGUGAUGAAAUUCAACCAUUUCUCGAGUUAACAUGAAUCCAUUAAAAUAUCAGAAAUCUAAAAUGGAAUCAAGUUCGAAGACUGUUAAGCAUGUGUACGUUCCACCUGGUACCUUAGUAAAGGAACGAGGACGGAGCUUCAGAGCAUUGGGUUCUGUAAGAGUAAAUGCUGAACAACGAGGUUUGAUUGGCAAAAGUAAAGCUUUUAAUGUAUUAGCUUUUGAUCUGAAUAAGGUAACUCAUAAUGAUAGUCUUGCACCUCCUGGUUUUGAUCAAAUAUUUGAAGGUGAUACUCUUUUUCCUCAUGAAGAAGAAGAGCGGCAGGGCACUCACAGAAGUGAAAUAAGGCUUUGUGAAUCUGAAAAGGUAAAAAAGCUGAGAGGAACGAAUUGGUGUAAAAAUAUUGCAGGACUCAAAGUUGGAGAAAAUAUUGCGCCUCCUGGUUUUGAUCAAAUAUUAGAAUGCGAUACUCUUUUUUCUCAUGAAGAAGAAGAGAUGCACAGUACCUAGAGAAGUGAAAUAAGGCUUUGUGAAUCUGAAAAGGUUAAAAAAACUGAGAGGAACGAAUUGGUGUAAAAAUAUUGCAGGACUCAAAGUUAGAGAAAAUUUUGUGCCCCCUAGUUUUGAUCAAAUAUUAGAAUGUGAUACUCUUUUUCAUCACGAAGAAGAAGAGAUGCAAGGCACUCAGAGAAGUGAAAUAAGACUCAAAGUUGGAGAAAAUGUUGCGCCUCCUGGUUUUGAUCAAAUAUUUGAAGUUGAUACUCUUUUUCCUCAUGAAGAAGAAGAGAUGCACGACACUCAUAGAAGUGAAAUAAGGCCAUGUGAAUCUGAAAAGGUAAAAAAACUGAGAGGAACGAAUAGGUGUAAAAAUGUUGCAGGAAUCAAAAAUGGAGAAAAUGUUGUGCCUCCUGGUUUUGAUCAAAUAUUUGAAGGUGAUACUCUUUUUCCUCGUGAAGAAGAAGAGAUGCAGGGCACUCAGAGAAGUGAAAUAGGGCCAUGUGAAUCUGAAAAGGUAAAAAAAGUGAGAGGAACGAAAAGGUAUAAAAAAGUUGUUGGACUCAUAGUUGGAGAAAAGUUGCCCGUCAUUUUCUACCACAAUAUUUUCUACCACAAUAUUGGUUUGUGAUCGUAAUAUAUGCCUAUUGUGUGUACACUCACGACAGACAUAGAAGAAUAAGUUACGGUAAAGAUUUAAAGCAUUACUUUCUUGA
Molecule: non-coding RNA, 3945 nt
Organism: Nicotiana tabacum (common tobacco)
Lineage: Eukaryota; Viridiplantae; Streptophyta; Magnoliopsida; Solanales; Solanaceae
Source: RefSeq, a predicted model, not a curated record